This is an RNA transcript of Mirounga angustirostris (Northern elephant seal), 1312 nucleotides long. RefSeq lists it as uncharacterized. Lineage: Eukaryota; Metazoa; Chordata; Mammalia; Carnivora; Phocidae. The transcript is spliced from 6 exons. The record is from RefSeq and is a predicted model, not a curated record.
CACUUCCGGCCUUGCGCGCUCAGGGUCUGAACGCAACGGGCGCCAAGACGGUCAGCCUGAGGUUUAACCCCUUCGUUACCUCGGACUGCAGCAAAAACCGCAAACGGCACUUCAGUGCGCCCUCGCACGUGCGCAGGAAGAUCAUGUCUUCCCCACUCUCCAUGCUUCCCUCUUCUCUCUGCCAAAUCCAGUACCACCAAAUGCCCAACCUCUGCUAAACCCAAUACUACUGAGACAUUACUCUUACCACAGCACUUUCUCCUGGAGAAUUUGGUUCAAAGAGUCACCCUGAGCAAAGCCUGGAAAACUUGCAUCGAAAACUUAAAUCGAAAAGCAAAGUUUUGCUUGGCUGGUAUAUAUACCGCUCUCCAAGGAGCUGCGACAGAAGUACAGCGUCCGCUGCGUGCCCAUCCGCAAGGACGACGAGGUCCAGAGAGAAGAGGGAAGCAGCAAGUCAGAAGCAUGAAAUUAUGAAAGAGAAUGAUCCUUGUGAGAAAGUAUAAGCUGUCUGUUCUUCCUAGAGCUUUGGAUGUGUGGCAUACUGGGCCCACCUGCAGCUGCUGGAGCUCAUCUUCCUCCAGACCGUGUACCCCGACAUCUGCCCGUGCCAGUGCCUGUCUGCGCUCACCCUGCUCCCUGAGUCCAGGAUCCAGGUGUGGUUCCAGAACAGGUGUGCCAAGUCACGGCAUCACAGCUGGAAGUCCUUUCAACCUUCAGUCAGACCGGAGCUUUGACUCCACCACUCUGCUCAUGGAACUGAAGCAAAAUGAAUUGAAGUCCCAGCUGCCUCUUGAGAUAAUGUGAACUGGUCGCCUCAUCCCAGCAGGGUUGGAGAGGGCAUCUCUACCCUGGCUCUCAAGGACACACUACAAAGGUCAGCAAAUUGGCAAGGUGGUCCAGGUGUACAGAAAGAAAUAUGUCAUCUACAUCGAGCGCGUACAGCGUAAGAAGGCUAAUGGGACAACUGUCCAUGUGGGCAUUCACCCGAGCAAGGUGGUUAUCACCAGGCUAAAGCUGGACAAAGAUCGGAAAAAAAUUCUCGAACACAAAGCCAAAUCUCGACAGGUUGGAAAAGAGAAAGGCAAAUAUAAGGAAGAACUUAUUGAGAAAAUGCAGGAGUGAAUGUAACCUGUUGUGCAAGCACAGUUUAACUGUAGACCUUUAGCCGGUGUGUGUUCCUUUGAAACUCUUCAAGACAUCUGCCAAACAUUUCAUCUCCUUCCUGUUUUGCUAUUGAUAAUGUAGCUUUGUAAAUCCACUUUUACUGUUUUGAUUACUAAUUUUAUGAAUAACAAUUGAAAAUGUUUCCUAA